AGCAAAUUUAAACCUUGGCUACUCCUCUCCUCUCCCCGUUUUUGCCUCAUUUGCUAUGAACAACAGCUAAAUAUAGAUGCAGAGAAUGUAACCGCUGCUAACACUGCCCUUUUGCCACUUCAUGUGCACGCCGCUGUUUUGAUAUGGGCUUAGCCAAAUGACGGCGAGGGGGGAAGACAUCCUUUCUGUGAUCGAGGACCAGAGGUAAACAAUUAAUGAUAGAUUAAAAGAGUGGUGGGCUCUCACAAGCUCCUCUGCAGAGAGGGAGCUUACGAAAAGAGAUGGAGAGAGAAGAGAGAGAGGUAGAGAGAAAGACAGCGAGGGAGAAGGAGAGAGAAUGUGUCUUCUGAUUAGUAUGUCCAUACAUUUACAUAGAUAAUGGGGCAAUUAUGGACUAAUCGAUAAACUUUUAUCACAAGCUGCUGAAUCUGCCGAUAGCCAAAACAAAUAAAUACUCCAUUUCCUCGAUUUUGAUACUUAGGCUGUGAAGGCGCCUUAAUGUGCUUUAUUGAUAUUUACCAGAGAACCGACUCUGCACACAUAAAACAAUGAGCGCAGCACCAAGGCAACCCUGCAGGGAUUGCGUUUUCAAUGCAUUUUUCAGUGAGAGUAUUAAGAACCACACGCCCUGAAAUAUCUCAUUCUCAGAGACAGAUUCAUCAUGUUAAAAGUAGCCGGUUAACUUGAUAUGUGUCUCAGGGAGAACUGAGACUAAAUGGCAAAUUAUUGGACAGAAAUGGAGUUGGUUACCAUCGCUUAAGGCAUCAGCUGAAGUCUUUGUUCCUUUAGCCAUGUUCAUCUUACCUAAUCUUUUGCUUUCCGUGGGAGGCUGGUCCAAGAGGAUAACCAAAAGGGAAAUGGUAGUAUUAGUAUUGCUGCUCCACACCUUCCCUUUGCUUGGACACAGGUAUUGCAUGUCUCCUUUUAUAAGCUUUCUUUUUGGACUUUUCUAGCCUUCAUUUGACAAUGGACAGGAGAGAGAAGAUACAACAGGACAACAAUGAGUGGGAGAGAGAGAGAUGGGGCGUGGGCUGGAGAGAUGACUCCUGGGUACUGGACCUACGCUACCUCUGCGCUACGGCUACACCCGUGGGGCCGUCUCUUAAGUUUAGAUUGGAUAUGAUCUAAUGAUCAGAUAGUUUGCUCAGGCACAGCAACUCAAAGAAAGAAUUGGAUCUGUGGAAAUGAAACAUGUAUCACGUCACCAUAACAUGUGUUUGACAUGACCUCCACUCCCAUACAAACGUGCGCACAAACACACACACAAACACACACACACACACACACACACACACACACACACACACACACACACACACACAUAUAUAUACACUCGCACUACCCCAGCUCUUUGCAAUCUCCUUCCAGGCGCUACCAAGGAGUAUUUGUGUCUGUAACAAUGUCAUUACAACAGCUGACAAAGAAUAACAUGUUCCUAGGGCACAUUGGUGUGGCUGUUAUGGUGGUGUUUUGUGUGUGUAUGUGUUUGUGUGUGUGUGUGUGUGUGUGUGGUUGUGUGUAUGUGUGUGUGUUUGGGAGGGGUAAUGAUGGGAGAAGCUUUCCUUUCAUACUGAUUGCCGCAGACUCAGGGUAAUGGAACAUUAGAGCCCUUCCACAAAUCUCUUUCCGUGUGCGCGCGAAGGGCCGGCGAAUGACUGGUUGCUUCGUCUCCACUUUGCAGAGAUUUCAGAUGUAUAUGUUGCCCCUCUAUGGUACAUUGCUAUUUAAUGACCCUUACUCCUCAAAGUUGUGCAAUCUAUCGUGGCACACACAUGCUGUGUUGGCAAGUGGAUUGUAUGAAUAGGUUUCACCUCCAUUUUUUCCCCUUUGUGCUUGGACCUUUCUGUACAGCUAAGCUGUAGCAAAUGACUGUUAGGCUGUUCUGUGUCUGCAUAGAAUACAUAAAAGCUAUACAUAAAAUUAUCUGCAGUGAGAGGCAAUCUCAGGGGAAAAUAGUGAACUGACAUACCAGCAUUGUGAUAAGGGCAACUCUCUCUCUCGCUUUCGCUCACACACACACACACACACACACACACACACACACACACACACACAAUCACAUACUCAUACACACACACACGUUAACAGUUGCAGUAAAAUCUUCAGAUGCUACUGACCUUGAGUGUUAAAAUUGCAGUCAGACAAAAAGCGCAGUGACACCCAGGCACUUUGCAGCUGGAUUGCAGGCCUGCCAGUAAGCAUUGUUCUCUAAGCACAGUCAGUGAUGGAUUGUCUGUUGACAGAAAGCAUCCACUCCUCAUCAAAGAGAACCAGACAAACAGGUCCUAACUGGCAGCCAAAGAGGCAUUUACCCUCCACCAAGAUUUGGAAACAGGAAAUCAAUGUUUCACUGCUUCUUGCUAUCAGGGCAGCUCAGUAGACAUCUCACCACCAUCCCAUCCACACCAGGCCCUCUGUGGUCCUGCUGGAUGGGCACAUUUGACGGGUUGAAUCCCAUCUGGGUGUCAGCGUUGACCCCCUGGCUCUGCUCCUGGAAGAAAAUGAGCGUUCUGCUCCCAGUGAACACAGUAAUGAUUUGGUUUCAUUGCGGUAAUGCAGGCCCACACUGCCAAGUCACAUUUCCAACGAGUCCAAUGUCCCUUACGUAACGGCUAAUGUUGUUGUUUUGUUGACUGUUGUCCAAUUUGACUUUGAUCGGGCCACCAAGUGCGAUUCCAAAUCUCGAGUAGGCACUUUCAAGUGUAUGGAAAAUUUCUGCAUGAAAAGCU
This is a long non-coding RNA of Clupea harengus (Atlantic herring), 2729 nucleotides long. NCBI's taxonomy places the organism in Eukaryota, Metazoa, Chordata, Actinopteri, Clupeiformes, Clupeidae. The record is from Ensembl.